Molecule: ribosomal RNA, 497 nt
Filed under: uncultured bacterium
Lineage: Bacteria
Description: partial 16S ribosomal RNA
Rfam family: Bacterial small subunit ribosomal RNA
Source: RNAcentral
GAUGAACGCUGGCGGCGUGCCUAAUACAUGCAAGUCGAGCGAACAGAUAAGGAGCUUGCUCCUUUGACGUUAGCGGCGGACGGGUGAGUAACACGUGGGUAACCUACCUAUAAGACUGGAAUAACUCCGGGAAACCGAGGCUAAUGCCGGAUAACAUUUAGAACCGCAUGGUUCUAAAGUGAAAGAUGGUUUUGCUAUCACUUAUAGAUGGACCCGCGCCGUAUUAGCUAGUUGGUAAGGUAACGGCUUACCAAGGCGACGAUACGUAGCCGACCUGAGAGGGUGAUCGGCCACACUGGAACUGAGACACGGUCCAGACUCCUACGGGAGGCAGCAGUAGGGAAUCUUCCGCAAUGGGCGAAAGCCUGACGGAGCAACGCCGCGUGAGUGAUGAAGGUCUUCGGAUCGUAAAACUCUGUUAUUAGGGAAGAACAAAUGUGUAAGUAACUGUGCACGUCUUGACGGUACCUAAUCAGAAAGCCACGGCUAACUACGUG